GACGAACGCUGGCGGCGUGCUUAACACACGCAAGUCGAACGGAAAGGCCCUGCUUUUGUGGGGUGCUCGAGUGGCGAACGGGUGAGUAACACGUGAGUAACCUGCCCUUGACUUUGGGAUAACUUCAGGAAACUGGGGCUAAUACCGGAUAGGAGCUCCUGCUGCAUGGUGGGGGUUGGAAAGUUUCGGCGGUUGGGGAUGGACUCGCGGCUUAUCAGCUUGUUGUUGGGGUAGUGGCUUACCAAGGCUUUGACGGGUAGCCGGCCUGAGAGGGUGACCGGCCACAUUGGGACUGAGAUACGGCCCAGACUCCUACGGGAGGCAGCAGUGGGGAAUAUUGCACAAUGGGCGGAAGCCUGAUGCAGCAACGCCGCGUGCGGGAUGACGGCCUUCGGGUUGUAAACCGCUUUCGCCUGUGACGAAGCGUGAGUGACGGUAAUGGGUAAAGAAGCACCGGCUAACUACGUG
RNAcentral lists this ribosomal RNA (468 nucleotides) under uncultured bacterium. RNAcentral's name for it is "partial 16S ribosomal RNA". It matches the Rfam family "Bacterial small subunit ribosomal RNA", at positions 28 to 507 of the family's 1533-position model. The record is from RNAcentral.